CGAGUUGUCAUUAGGUGGACGCCUACUCCAGAUAACAUGGGAGAGCAUUUCCCAGUGUGCUUUGCUGUCGAAUCAGUAUCUGGGUCUAGAAUCUAUCAGUCUGAGAUGAGGUGUGUUCUAGUGGACGUUGGGAAGGAGCAAAUUAAAUCCAAUGUGAUCUGCAAUGGUCCACAAUGACAGUGGAGGUUGAGAAGUCUACAUUCGCCG
Larimichthys crocea (large yellow croaker) is the source of this 207-nucleotide long non-coding RNA. RefSeq lists it as uncharacterized. The transcript has 3 exons. NCBI's taxonomy places the organism in Eukaryota, Metazoa, Chordata, Actinopteri, Sciaenidae. The record is from RefSeq and is a predicted model, not a curated record.